This 303-nucleotide ribosomal RNA is filed under the name uncultured bacterium. Its description in RNAcentral is "partial 16S ribosomal RNA". It matches the Rfam family "Bacterial small subunit ribosomal RNA", at positions 507 to 809 of the family's 1533-position model. The record is from RNAcentral.
AGCAGUAGCCGCGGUAAUACAGAGGGUGCGAGCGUUAAUCGGAUUUACUGGGCGUAAAGCGUGCGUAGGCGGCUUCUUAAGUCGGAUGUGAAAUCCCUGAGCUUAACUUAGGAAUUGCAUUCGAUACUGGGAAGCUAGAGUAUGGGAGAGGAUGGUAGAAUUCCAGGUGUAGCGGUGAAAUGCGUAGAGAUCUGGAGGAAUACCGAUGGCGAAGGCAGCCAUCUGGCCUAAUACUGACGCUGAGGUACGAAAGCAUGGGGAGCAAACAGGAUUAGAUACCCGGGUAGUCUCUGUCUCUUAUAA